GAUUCAUAGCUCAAUGGUUCAGCGUCGACUUGGUACGCCGGAAGUACAGGUUCGAUUCAUGUAAGAGUCA
RNAcentral lists this transfer RNA (70 nucleotides) under Daphnia magna. It matches the Rfam family "tRNA". From Rfam's summary of the family: Transfer RNA (tRNA) molecules are approximately 80 nucleotides in length. Their secondary structure includes four short double-helical elements and three loops (D, anti-codon, and T loops). The record is from Rfam by way of RNAcentral. Lineage: Eukaryota; Metazoa; Arthropoda; Branchiopoda; Diplostraca; Daphniidae.